RNAcentral lists this microRNA (22 nucleotides) under Ptychodera flava. RNAcentral describes it as "Pfl-Mir-190_3p* (star (passenger))". Lineage: Eukaryota; Metazoa; Hemichordata; Enteropneusta; Ptychoderidae. The record is from RNAcentral.
AACCAGUAUCAGACAUAUAUCC